Seriola aureovittata is the source of this 1550-nucleotide long non-coding RNA. RefSeq lists it as uncharacterized. The record is from RefSeq and is a predicted model, not a curated record. Lineage: Eukaryota; Metazoa; Chordata; Actinopteri; Carangiformes; Carangidae. The transcript is spliced from 3 exons.
GUGACCUCUCGGUGUUUGUGGUGUUGGUGCCUUUUGGAAGAUGGAAGAUCAUGGAAAUAUCGGACAAAUGAUAUGGCUUGCUGUGCGGUUAAUUGACUAACAGAACGUGAGGAUGUCUGUGCUCCGGUUUUUUUAAGGGGGUUCUUCAUGAUUCCAGUGGACUAGACCUUCAUGGAUGGCAGUUUUCCCAAUUUUGGCAACGUCCUUGUACUCAUGUUUGCAACAUACUACUGCCUCAGCAUCAGUUAUCCACCAAAACUGGGUCCAACUCUGGAAAUCUUACAGAGGAGCCGGUGUCUGUCUCAUAUUGUGUAUGGAAGAAGAUGACAUGAAGCCUCAGCUCACAGAGUGAAGCUACUGCGCUCCCCCCGUCUGUGUGCACAUAAUUAAGGUUACUGAACACACUAAAGUUAACAUGCACACACUCAUGUAUCUUAAACACAGUGGAAAUGCAAAUGCAAAUAAAAUCCAUGAAAUCCUUCCCGCACAUAAUUGCAACCCUACGGCAGGCUGGUGAUUGUAGCUGUAGCUGUAGCUGUAGCUAUAGCUGUAGCUCAGGUGGUGGAGUGUGUAGAACAAGUAGAGCUGGAAAAAACAUAAAGCCACUUUGGACAAAGGCAUCUGCUGAAUGCAAUGUAUUAUUUUCUUAGUGACUUUCAUCACCCUAUUUAAAGCACUGUCUAUUUGAAAAGGUCAUUUCAGUUCAUACUCAGUCUAAACAUCUUAUUUGUCUUAACCAUCAACUUUAACUUUAUAGUCGCUACAGGGACAUUUGUCUGUCAGCGGGUGAAACAGAACACAAGAUACAUAAAACAUGUGAUAUAAAUAUUUACAGUGAAACAAAUGUUACAUCUAUCACACAAGCUCACAGGAAACAGUUUGGAUCAAGUGGCAGUAUAACAUCAAGCCUGAAGUACAUGAAGCACUUUUCUUACUAGGUUUUAGGUCAAAGUCACAGACAGUCAGAGCUGACUCAUCAAGAGAAUUCAACAGUUACUAUUAGACCUGGUCUGUGCUACUCUAAAUUACCAUCCAGACGGGAAAAGCUCAAACUCUGCAGUUGGUCUCUUGGAGAAAAUGUGAGAUGCCUUUUACCAACAAUGAUUUUACUGGCCGUUUUACUAGUGGAGCUGUCAUCGUCCUACUUGUUUCCAGCUAAGAGUCACUUGUUUAAAAAAUUUCCCAGAACACAAACAUGACUCAGACCAUCCUUAGCAAAAAACAUUUUGUCUUACAUUAAAAUGAAAUGAAUAAUUCCAGCGGUUUAGACUAAGUACUGAUAUUGUAAAAUGAAUAUAUGACGACUACACAUCUUGAGAGAGAUAGCUGGUUAUUUAAAAACAUAUCAACAAUUAAACUCUGUGUUUUUAACCAACCCAUAAUGGAAAGUUGUUUUUUCUGAGGCUGUAAAUAACAAUGGCUUUCAUUAUCAAUUAAUCAGACAUAUAUUUUCUUGAUUAAUUGAUAAAUCAUUUUGUCUAGACAAUGAGGAAUUAGUGGAGUGUUCUGGUGGUGGAAUGGUUACAGUGCCUGCUGUGAAAAUUGUUAUA